This is a non-coding RNA of Osmia lignaria (orchard mason bee), 1340 nucleotides long. Lineage: Eukaryota; Metazoa; Arthropoda; Insecta; Hymenoptera; Megachilidae. The record is from RefSeq and is a predicted model, not a curated record.
UCUGGACGCAACGAUCCGUAAUCUUCUUUCGUUUUAAUUAAAAAUGACAAAAAUAAUACUCGCUAAAGUGACGGAAAUAGAUAUAACGUAUAGUAAUUCCUUUUAUUAGUACGAAUAUAAAGUUGUCUAUAAUAAAAUAAACGUCUACUAGUAUAUCGAUUUGAAUUUGAUUUAUUAGAUUUUACUGUCAUGAACGCAACUCAAAAUUUUUUCUAAAAAUUAAAUGCAUGCCAAUUAAAGAGAAUCGUACAGAUUAGGAACCUGAAUUUCCGCCAAUUAUCACAAAAUGGGUUUCUCGAUGAAUGUAAAUAAGAAACACUUGAUUUCUUUCGCUUUAUUAUAAUUGUCCAGGAAGUGUAUAAUCGACAGAAAUUCGAAUUCUACUUACAUACGUCGAUGGUCGGUGACGGAAUGUUGUUUUGAGGUGAAACAACAUUCGAGCCGUGCGAGGUCGGUGAAGGAAGCGGACUGGGUUUACAAAUGAUUUGCUCAGAGGUACUACUUCCACUAUCAGUCCCGUACGUUACAGUCGGCUCGUUGUAACCAGGCAAUUCGACUUCAGGCUUUAUUUCUAUCAUCAUCGAAUCAGCCGUGGAACCAUGAACCGAAUUACUACUAAACCGAUAUUUGCAAGAGGAUAAGAGAUGUCUACGUAGAUUUCUCGCUUGCCGUAACGUAGCGCCACAGAGUGGACAAACGCCUGGACAAUCAGAUGCACCACGUAUUUUAGAUAAAUUCAUAUUGCCGGUUGGUCCACUAGCCACCGUUCCCACCGUUGCACUCUGGGUAACUAGUGGGAGCGGUAUACCAGGUGGAAAGCCCAUAUUAAGAGGACCAGGAAAUUGCGGUAUUUGUAGCGGAGAAUAUGGCUGCAUUGGCAUUAAUGUAUGAAGAUGCGUUUCACUUUCCGACAUUUGAUCCUGAUGCUGUCCUGCUUGAGAAUUUUCCGACGACACUGGCUGCGCUUCUUGAGCACGUGGCGAGUGACAACCCCGAUGAUUCGAAUAUUCCAACCGAUCGUUCGCUGCUAACAGACACAAACACAACAUUACCAUGCAGGGCUGAACUGAUUUUUAGCUGUGAAAUUUUUCAAUUAUUAUCAGUUCAAUUAGAUGCAGUUCAACCCAAUUGAUGGUUGUGCUUGUGUCCGUUUCUUAUGUAGGUAAAAUAUUUGGAAAGAAGUUUGAAAAUUGAUGGAUCAUACUCCAAAAAUAUAUUGACAAUGUGAUCAAAAUAAUCGGACACAAAACACAAGUAGCAUUGUAGAUUCAUUCUUAUUCAAAUCUGUUUACUAAACCAAUUGAAUGUACAGAAUAAUAAAAAUGAUAGAAACAGUUUAA